GACCGUAGCAAACUGCGA
This 18-nucleotide unclassified non-coding RNA is filed under the name Dictyostelium discoideum. The record is from RNAcentral. Lineage: Eukaryota; Evosea; Eumycetozoa; Dictyosteliales; Dictyosteliaceae.